Molecule: long non-coding RNA, 535 nt
Filed under: Mytilus galloprovincialis (Mediterranean mussel)
Lineage: Eukaryota; Metazoa; Mollusca; Bivalvia; Mytilida; Mytilidae
Source: RNAcentral
GUCGGUUUAAGCAUAGCAAUUACAAACAUAAGCUCUGAAGAGCUUUUAAAACCGAUAUGUUAGCUCAUGCAUGUUUUGGACUUCGGUGUUGACAUGAAUAUCAAUAAUGUGGUCAAUUUUUAUAAAUUUUCUGUUUACAAAACUUCAAAGAGUUUUUCAAAAAACUAAGGAUUUUCUUAUCCCAGGCAUAGAUUACCGUAGCCGUUGGUAAAACGUUUUGGAAUUUUGGAUCCUCAAUGCUCUUCUACUUUGUAAUUGUUUGGGUUUAAAAUAUUUUUAAAUGAGCGUCACUGAUGACUCUUAUGCAGAUGAAACGCGCGUCUGGUGUACUAAAUUAUAAUCCUGGUACCUUUGAUAACCAUUGGACGAUUGACAUUCAAGGAUGAAAGCAUUCGGAAUUAAACUUUUAAAAAAUCUCAGCAGUCUUUUCAUUUAUCAAGCGUCCCAAACAUGCAUGAACUAUUUGCCACUGUACGUUAAGCAAUUAAUAAUAAAUUAUCAAACUAAGUGUUGCACUGUUGAGGGCUUAGUGUUG